GUGCGCUGACCCGCAAGGGAGGCAGCCGUCCAAGGUAUAACUCAUGAUUGGGGUGAAGUCGUAACAAGGUAGCCGUAGGAGAACCUGCGGCUGGAUCACCUCCUUU
RNAcentral lists this ribosomal RNA (106 nucleotides) under Anaerolineaceae bacterium. RNAcentral's name for it is "partial 16S ribosomal RNA". It matches the Rfam family "Bacterial small subunit ribosomal RNA", at positions 1430 to 1533 of the family's 1533-position model. Lineage: Bacteria; Bacillati; Chloroflexota; Anaerolineae; Anaerolineales; Anaerolineaceae. The record is from RNAcentral.